AUACGUAGGGGGCAAGCGUUGUCCGGAAUUACUGGGCGUAAAGAGCUCGUAGGCGGCUCAGCAAGUCGGUCGUGAAAGCCCGAGGCUCAACCUCGGAACUGCGGUCGAUACUGCUGUGGCUAGAGUCCGGUAGUGGAGAGUGGAAUUCCCGGUGUAGCGGUGGAAUGCGCAGAUAUCGGGAGGAACACCAGUGGCGAAGGCGGCUCUCUGGGCCGGUACUGACGCUGAGGAGCGAAAGCGUGGGGAGCAAACAGGAUUAGAAACCCUUGUAGUCC
RNAcentral lists this ribosomal RNA (275 nucleotides) under uncultured bacterium. RNAcentral's name for it is "partial 16S ribosomal RNA". It matches the Rfam family "Bacterial small subunit ribosomal RNA", at positions 523 to 796 of the family's 1533-position model. The record is from RNAcentral.